GUUUCUCAUUGUUUCUCAAUUAAGAGAGAUUUGUUAAGUCAGAUUAAAAAAACAUGUGGUAUUUCAUCUAGGCUGACGAGCCACGGUCAGAUCACUCAUUGUAGAGCUUUCAGCCACCAGAGCCUCUCCUAGCAGAGGUGAAAAGAAGAACCCGAUAAAGACUUCUCCUUCAGUGAUGGAAACAAACCGCGACCGCCAAUAGACAUUUCAAUGGUUCACAAGGGUGUUGAUUUGAUCCCGCGCCGUAAUGCUGACAAAGAUGCCAGCACUUAAACCGGCACGGUCACAAAAGAUUGUUAAUGAUCCAACCGCAGGUUCACCUACGGUUA
RNAcentral lists this unclassified non-coding RNA (329 nucleotides) under uncultured fungus. RNAcentral's name for it is "sequence contains ITS1". Lineage: Eukaryota; Fungi. The record is from RNAcentral.